RNAcentral lists this ribosomal RNA (460 nucleotides) under uncultured bacterium. RNAcentral's name for it is "partial 16S ribosomal RNA". It matches the Rfam family "Bacterial small subunit ribosomal RNA", at positions 338 to 795 of the family's 1533-position model. The record is from RNAcentral.
CCUACGGGAGGCAGCAGUGAGGAAUAUUGGUCAAUGGACGAGAGUCUGAACCAGCCAAGUAGCGUGAAGGAUGACUGCCCUAUGGGUUGUAAACUUCUUUUAUAAAGGAAUAAAACGAGGCACGUGUGCCUUUUUGCACGUACUUUAUGAAUAAGGAUCGGCUAACUCCGUGCCAGCAGCCGCGGUAAUACGGAGGAUCCGAGCGUUAUCCGGAUUUAUUGGGUGUAAAGGGAGCGUAGAUGGGUUGUUAAGUCAGUUGUGAAAGUUUGCGGCUCAACCGUAAAAUUGCACUUGAUACUGGCAGUCUUGAGUGCAGUUGAGGUAAGCGGAAUUCGUGGUGUAGCAGUGAAAUGCUUAGAUAUCACGAAGAACCCCGAUGGCGAAGGCAGCUUACUAAACUGUGACUGACAUUGAUGCUCGAAAGUGUGGGUAUCAAACAGGAUUAGAUACCCUGGUAGUC